RNAcentral lists this ribosomal RNA (492 nucleotides) under uncultured bacterium. RNAcentral's name for it is "partial 16S ribosomal RNA". It matches the Rfam family "Bacterial small subunit ribosomal RNA", at positions 29 to 507 of the family's 1533-position model. The record is from RNAcentral.
AGUGAACGCUGGCGGUAGGCCUAACACAUGCAAGUCGAACGGCAGCACCGUAAGAGCUUGCUCUUACGGGUGGCGAGUGGCGGACGGGUGAGGAAUACAUCGGAAUCUACUUUUUCGUGGGGGAUAACGUAGGGAAACUUACGCUAAUACCGCAUACGACCUACGGGUGACAGCAGGGGAUCUUCGGACCUUGCGCGAUUGAAUGAGCCGAUGUCGGAUUAGCUAGUUGGCGGGGUAAAGGCCCACCAAGGAGACGAUCCGUAGCUGGUCUGAGAGGAUGAUCAGCCACACUGGAACUGAGACACGGUCCAGACUCCUACGGGAGGAAGCAGUGGGGAAUAUUGGACAAUGGGCGCAAGCCUGAUCCAGCCAUACCGCGUGGGUGAAGAAGGCCUUCGGGUUGUAAAGCCCUUUUGUUGGGAAAGAAAAGCAGCAGGUUAAUACCCCGCUGUUCUGACGGUACCCAAAGAAUAAGCACCGGCUAACUUCGUG